GGCCUCUGCUUCUAGUUGCUUCUUGGAGUGAGUAAAACUAAAGGCUGAUGAUCUAAUCUGUAGCUAUUUGCAAAAAUGAAAGGAAUGUCUUGUUCUUUAAUUAUUUCGGGUUGGUUUAAUUAUUUUGGAUUGGAUUUUUUUGCACUAGUGCCCCGGUAAUUAGAUUUUCUAAAUUGAUUUGGUGUGAAAGUUUUGCUGCAACAAGGGUUCUCACAGCCAAGUUUAACUUGAAUAGCCUGUUUCAUACAUCUUAUCCAUUUUCUUAAAUUAAGCUGCCGUCAGCGGCUUUUAACUGAAGCGUUAGGAGUACAAUGCUAUAGUGUUGCCCUAUUUUUUUUUGGUGCUCCCCAUAAAGGUUUAAAACGUAAGCUUUACUUAACUUAUAUCUUGAGUGUG
Non-coding RNA from Pelobates cultripes (western spadefoot toad), 396 nucleotides. The record is from the annotation of a GenBank genome assembly. NCBI's taxonomy places the organism in Eukaryota, Metazoa, Chordata, Amphibia, Anura, Pelobatidae.